Molecule: long non-coding RNA, 3003 nt
Filed under: Homo sapiens (human)
Lineage: Eukaryota; Metazoa; Chordata; Mammalia; Primates; Hominidae
Description: HSALNT0368288
Source: RNAcentral
CUCAAUAUCCAGGGACAGCUUCACGCUCAAAAGCUCUUGGUACUCGCGCAGCAUCCGUGCCAGCUCCUCCUUGGCCUGCUGCAGGGCGCCCUCCAGCUCAUCCAGCUUGGCCCUGGCAUCCUUGAGGGCACAGUCCCCCCGCUGCUCGGCGUCAGCGAUGGCCGUCUCCAGGUUGGCACACUGGGGUCAGGAGGUAGCAUUUCUCCCUGAGUUCCUCCCUGGGCCUCGCUUCACCUCUCCCAUGCUCUCAAUGGUUGAGCCCUCCUCUGUCCUGCCCCAUGUCCUGGAGCAGAGACCCAGCCACAUCCAGGUGGAGUCCUGUCAACCUGAGACUGAGAGGCUUGCUACGCUGGGCCCCACAGCUUUAUGAAAAUAAUCUGCAAUUGUUCCAAACUUCAGAUGGGAGCUAAGGGUGAGGGAUGAGAGCAGGACCUCCAUUUGAAGAAGGGGAUUCUGAAAUGGAUGCUCAAGAGAAGGAGGGGGCAGGGGGUGCUAAGCAGUUCACCCCUCCCUUAGGAGUGAGUAAGGAAGGCUCCAGUCCCCUUCACCUGCUUCUUCACACUCUCAAUCUCCGAGCGCAGUCUUUGGAUGAGACGGGUCAGCUCUGAGAUCUCAUUUUUGGUGUGUUUCAGGUCAUCCCCAUGCCGGCCGGCUGCUAGCUGCAGCUCCUGGAACUAGAGGAAAAGGAACCAAAGCAAGAACACUGACUCAGGGCUUGGCUGGGAUCAGCCUGGUACAGAGACUGUGCCUGCACUUGCAGAGCCUGGCAGAGUCACAGAGAGUACAUCAGUUCUACUCAGAAUGUGGCUCAAGGGGAAAACAAAACAGGGACCCUUCAGCACUCUGGUGUACUGCUCUGUCUCUGUCACUGGGUGCUCCACCCCAGCAUGGCCCAAGAUUUAGGAUUGUUCCUAAAGAUGUCAAGUUAUCCAGAAAGCAGAGAAGGCAGAAGGGCUUCUCUCUUCACUCCUUGUAUUUUAUCUUUGGUGCCAACCCUAAACAAGGGGCCUUCUCCUGCUUCUCCGCAAGGCUGUGUGAGCAGGAUGCCUCCCCGUACACUGGUUCUGACACCAAGCAGCUUCAUUCUGAGGCAAACAGAUGAACAUCUUCCUGCCACUCCUCUGUCAAGCCACACAAAGCCCUUAGAGUAAAUGCUUCUUUCCCAGAGUCACCUUCUGAUUUUCUGCCUAAAUGCAGUGGAAUUUGAAGUCAGUCACCUAGAUUCUGAUCCAGCUGCGUCACUUGUCAGCUAUUGCCUUUGUGCCCAGGAGAGUGCUGUGCUCCCAGCAAGCUAUGGGCCACCACAGUGAGUCAUGGGGCAGACAAGACAGAGUCUGGAGCAGAGGGCCCUGCAUACUUCACUAUGGGGAGUUUUGCGGCCUCACCUUGGUCUGGUACAGGGCCUCGGCCUCGGCCUUGCUCUUCCGGGCGAUCUCCUCAUACUGGGCACGGACCUCAGCAAUGAUGCUGUCCAGGUCCAGGUUCCGGUUGUUGUCCAUGGACAGGAUGAUGGACGUGUCGCUGAUGUGGGACUGGAUCUGAGCAGUCUCCUGCAGGGGAAACAAGGAAGCAUGAAAUGCCUUCUGUGACCAGAGAAAGGUCCCAAGGUGAUGGCCCUGUCCCAGAGGGAUGGCCCUAGACCAUCCCACACAGAUGGAAGCUGCACUUCCCAAAGCUUGUAAGAACAGAGCUCACAGCCCAGAGGUUCCAAUACCACAUCUGAAAACUGCUGAAUGGGUUUGAAGCAGCCCAGGAAGAAAACAGCCCAUAUGUCUGUCCCCUGAGACAGGACAGGAGUGGGGAAGGUGGAAGACAACAGCCUGGCUGCCACACAUGGGACACUAAGGGGCACAGGAGCCCAGAAAUGCUUGGCCAAUAGGUUGAGGCUUGAAACCAGAUGUACAUAGAGAAGGCAGAAGGGGUAUGAGGACUUCCUACCUCUAUCCCUGGGGAUUCCUGCCCAAGACCCCAGGAAACAUCCCCAGCCACAGAGAGAAGAGAAGCAGGAAUGAGAAUAUGCUUGGCUGAAGUUCAGUGGGAACCCUUUAAGGACUCUGUUUUCCUGGAGGAAGUGAAAGCAGGACAUCCUCAGGGCAGUCAGGGAUGGAUGGGGCACCAGGAUAGAUGGCCACUCCCACCUUUGAUCUACAAAUUUCUCAGCACCCCAAUGCUGGAGGUGCCCUGGACUGCUUAAGUUACAGAUAAGUAAGAAACUGUUCAUCACAUAUCUGUCCUUCCAGAAGACAGAGCCAGAGGUGGGGCAGGGGGAGCCUUACCCCCUCGUACAGACACUUGAAGAACUUGAUUUCUCCAUCCAGGGCAUCCACCUUGGCCUGCAGCUCCACUUUGCUCGUGUAAGCUGCGUCCACGUCCUAUGGAGAAUCCAGAUACCCCUGACCUCACCUUUCUUCAAGCCCAGACAGGCCUCUCCAGCGAACUGACACCUGCAGGCCCUGCCCUAGCUAGCUGCCCAGGACUUCAGAUCCAAGGGGCAGGAACCGGCCUUCCAGCCACAACUUCACUGUCAGACUCACUGCGAAACCUGGGGCAAGUUUCUCAUGCCUCUGGAACUCCUUCUGCCUCUAUUUCUCAGAGAAGGGUGUGAGACUCUAUACCCCACUCAGCCAGUCAUUCAGCCAACAGAGGGAGGCAAGGACAGCCACGGCGAUUUGCCAGAAACUAGCAGAGUUGGAAGGCAAACCUGCAGCCCCUCCCAAAGCCUGUCCUGUUCCCCAGCCAGAGGGGACAUGAGUUGGGACUGACUAUCCACAUCUAGGUUCCUGUCCACAGACAAAGUACUGUGUGCUAAACCAACACCAGGUGUCCCAAAAUGUCCCAAGCAGCAAGCCCUUCAUCUCCUCCUUCAGCACUUUGGCUCCAGGCCCUUCUGCGGGGGGCUCAGACCUCAGCUGCUCCUCUCUCUUAGCCCAGCACCCACUGCUGGGGGACUGAAGGGAACCCAUGCACCCUCCUCACCUUCUUAAGCACCACAAAUUCAUUCUC